This 466-nucleotide ribosomal RNA is filed under the name uncultured Sphingobacteriales bacterium. Its description in RNAcentral is "bacterial SSU rRNA". It matches the Rfam family "Bacterial small subunit ribosomal RNA", at positions 910 to 1382 of the family's 1533-position model. Lineage: Bacteria; Pseudomonadati; Bacteroidota; Sphingobacteriia; Sphingobacteriales. The record is from RNAcentral.
UUGACGGGGCCGCACAAGCGGUGGAGCAUGUGGUUAAUUCGAUGAUACGCGAGGAACCUUACCUGGGCUCAAAUGUAUGUUGACGUAUCUGAAAGGGAUACUUCUUCGGACAAUAUACAAGGUGCUGCAUGGUUGUCGUCAGCUCGUGCCGUGAGGUGUCGGGUUAAGUCCCAUAACGAGCGCAACCCCUAUCAUUAGUUGCCAUCAGGUCAAGCUGGGGACUCUAAUGAAACUGCCUACGCAAGUAGUGAGGAAGGUGGGGAUGACGUCAAGUCAUCAUGGCCCUUACGGCCUGGGCUACACACGUGCUACAAUGGUCGGUACAAAGGGUUGCCAAGCCGCGAGGUGGAGCUAAUCCCAUAAAACCGAUCGUAGUCCGGAUCGCAGUCUGCAACUCGACUGCGUGAAGUCGGAAUCGCUAGUAAUCGUGAAUCAGAAUGUCACGGUGAAUACGUUCCCGGGCCUU